GAAAACUAUUAAGACUUCCAGAUCAUCAUCAACUAUGCCGAACAAGAAUAUCUCUCUCUCUCUCUCUCUCACUAACAGCAAAAAAAUAAUAGCACUGGAGGUGCAACCAACCAAACGUAACAAACACUGCCACCACAGGUAUAUGUAAUAGAUACUCAGAUACUCAGUUCCCUUUGCCCGAUAUAGGGUUACACAAUGACGAAUCUAGGUAGGUAAGAAGAUAGGUGGGUGGGAUCUAGAGGCGCGACAAAAACGACGACGACGGUUUCACUACGAUAUAAGUAUCUGGCUUCCAAAAGAUCAAGAGCAGCAUAGCUGCGCCGUCAUCGUCUAGCUUGAAGGCGUCGCCGUGGCCAGACACAUCUGCGUCUUGACGGCUUCCUUGUAGGUCUUGUGCUGGUAGG
RNAcentral lists this long non-coding RNA (404 nucleotides) under Triticum aestivum (bread wheat). RNAcentral describes it as "long non-coding RNA (TAES_LNC026508)". Lineage: Eukaryota; Viridiplantae; Streptophyta; Magnoliopsida; Poales; Poaceae. The record is from RNAcentral.